Molecule: long non-coding RNA, 932 nt
Organism: Gasterosteus aculeatus aculeatus (three-spined stickleback)
Lineage: Eukaryota; Metazoa; Chordata; Actinopteri; Perciformes; Gasterosteidae
Source: Ensembl
CUACAAUCUUAUCUCUUCUGACCUUGUUCCUUGUUUUCCCAACUCUCUGGAGGAGGCAAGAGUUACCUCACUCCUGAAGAAACCUACCCUCAACCCAUUUGAAGAAAACAACUACAAACUGGCCUCUCUUCUUCCCUUUCUGUCCAAACCUCCUGAAUGUGCUAUCUUUAAUCAACUCUCCUGUCUCCACCGUAACAACCUCCUUGAGGUUGCUCUCUCCUCUCAUCCCACCUUGAUGGCCGCAUCUACCAGCAAUUAGGGGUUAGGUGUCGACAUGGGGCAGCAGAGGCCCAAACCACCAACCUUGCGGCUCCCGGCGCACCCGCUCUACCCCUGCGCCACAUCAACCCCAGACCUGUCUGUUAACUUUGGAAACUGCUUGGACCCUCAGUGUGACACUCGACAGCCAACUCUCCCGGACUCCCAACAUUAAAGCGACAAUACGAUCUACUACAUCAGGAGAAUACGUCCCCUUCUCACUCAAAACGCAGCGCAGGUACUGAUUCAGGCUCUUAUAAUCUCCCACCUUGACUUGUAACUCUUACCUGGCAGGUCUCCCUGCCACUGCCAUUUGACCUCUGCAGCUCAUCCAGAAUACAGCAGCUCGACUGGUCUUUAACCUUCCAAAAUUCUCCCACACUACUCCACUCCUCCGCUCUCUUCACUGGCUACCGGUGGCUGCCCGCAUCCACCUCAAAACUCACGUACCAUGCUGUCAAUGGAUUGGAUCCAGUCUACAGCCAAGACAUGGUCAAACACUGCAUCUAAACCCGCUCUGCAUCUGCCACACUGCUUGUUCCUCCCUCACUGAGAGCAAACCACUCGACAAGAUUAUGACUCUUUGCUGUCCUGGCUCAGAAAUGAUGGAAUGAGCUUUCUGAUGACAUCAGGACCACAGAGUCUUUACAUCUUCCGCCGCAAACACAGACACA